GGUUCUGUAGAUCAUAGUUAGUU
RNAcentral lists this small nuclear RNA (23 nucleotides) under Arabidopsis thaliana (thale cress). RNAcentral describes it as "snRNA_04386". The record is from RNAcentral. Lineage: Eukaryota; Viridiplantae; Streptophyta; Magnoliopsida; Brassicales; Brassicaceae.